This 203-nucleotide microRNA precursor is filed under the name Oryza sativa Japonica Group (Japanese rice). RNAcentral describes it as "MIR812 microRNA precursor family". It matches the Rfam family "MIR812 microRNA precursor family". Lineage: Eukaryota; Viridiplantae; Streptophyta; Magnoliopsida; Poales; Poaceae. The record is from Rfam by way of RNAcentral.
UAUAAGGGAUUUUAAGUUUUUGUUUAUAAUAUUUGACCACUCGUCUUAUUCAAAAUUUUUUAAAAUUAUUAUUUAUUUUAUUUGUGACUUACUUUAUUAUCUACAGUACUUUAAGCACAACUUUUCGUUUUUUAUAUUUACAAAAAAAAUUUAAAUAAAACGAGUGGUCAAACGUUGCAAACAAAAACUCAAAAUCCCUUAUG